Anolis carolinensis (green anole) is the source of this 3764-nucleotide long non-coding RNA. RefSeq lists it as uncharacterized. The record is from RefSeq and is a predicted model, not a curated record. NCBI's taxonomy places the organism in Eukaryota, Metazoa, Chordata, Lepidosauria, Squamata, Anolidae. The transcript has 2 exons.
AUUCUGCAAGCACCUGGUUCCAUGCUUUAUUUCAGCUACUAUAGACUUCUAAGCAGUUUGGACUAAAGCGCACAGAACCUUACUAAGACAAAUUGUAAGCCAAAACAUCUGGGGGCUCACAUCUGCCCACUUCUGUUUUACACCAUGACUGUUUCAUUCCUAAAAGUUCAUCCAGAUUGAGGCUAGUGUACUACCAUAUAAUAGUUUCAGAAUGCAGAUUAACUGUAUUCUGAAACUGCAUUAUAUGGCAGUGUAGAUCCAACCCCAGAGAGAAAAAUGUGGAUCAGAGUAUUAAAUCAGGUGGAAAUCAUAACUGAAAAUUUAUAAAUACAAUUCAGGUAUCCAAAUAGAAGGAGCAAGCAAAAUGAACAAAAGAAUACGAACACAGUAAAUAGAGUUCUAAAUGUGGAAAAUAUUCAGAAUCAAUGCUAGAAAUGUGAAGAGUGAGGCCCCAUCUACACUGCCAUACAAUUCACUUUCUGAUGCAGAUUAACUGCACUGAACAGGAUAAUAGGGCAGUGUAGACUCACAUAAUCCAAUUCAAAGCAGUUAAUAUGCAUUCUGAAAUUGGAUUAUAUGGCAGUGUAGAUUCAGCCUGUAAGAAAAUGUAAAUUGUUAGGGGAAGAUUUUUAUUUGGGAGGGGAAGAAUGCCCUCAUGUUUGCCCAACUACAAUGUAACUACACCUCUGGGAAUGGCAUUUUAAGUGGAAUAUUGUGAGAUAUUCCAUGUUCUCACUUACUUUGGAAAAAUCUUGACUGAGCACUGUGGCAAUGUGCUUCAAGUCGUUUUCAAACUAUGGCGACUCGAUCAUAAGAGUUUUCUUGGCAAGGUUUAUUCAGAGCGGGUUUGCCUUUGCCUUCCUGUGGGGGUGAGAGAGGAUGAUUCAAACCCUGGUUUUCAAAGCCAUAGUACAGUGUUCAAACCAUUACACUUCAUGAGCUCUCUCUCUCUUCUAGCUUAAAAUGUAUAGGAUCUGGCUGCACAAUAGAGUGCUUAGCAUAUUUUAGGGGGAACAAAUUCUCACUGAAAUCAAUAGCAAGGACUGAGCUGUAAUUAUCUUUCAACUAUCCCAUGGCAACCCAUUAGUUUUAUAGCCCAGGCUAUUAAAUGGGGGAAAAUGUUUAAGUUAAAGGCAAUUCAUGCCUUUGGUGUGUUUCCCUUGUAAAAACGCUCUCACUGUGGGGACUUCUUUUAUUUAACCUCAUUUUUAUGCUGCUUCUCUUUUACUUUAGAUUUACUAGUUCUGGAAGAAAGCCUCCUUCUCAAUAGGCAACAUGAUUUUGAGAUGCUUCGGACAGGCAGAGGACCAGUUUUCACUUGACGUCUGGGGAGGGAAGAGAAUAACCCUGGCUAUGCUGAACACAAUGAAACACUGGACUAUCUGAUGGAUCAGGGCCUGUUACUGAAUCAGAUCCUAACCCAGGAUGGCUCUGAACAGCAGCUGUGUGACCACAGAAGCAGGUGGGUUUUUUAAAAAAAAAAUUACCUUAUUUGUUGGAGGCUGGGGCACUGGGGCCUAUAUGCUCCCAUUUUUAAAGAUCACCUGAUUAUGAAGAUGAUCAUGUCAGAAGCGACUUGAGAACAUACUGCAAGUCACUUCUGAAACUCCUCCUUCAGAAGUUUAGCAUAACAAACAAACAAAUCCUCCUUCAGGAGCUAGAGGAGAGACCUCCAAGUCCUCCUGAGCAAAGACGAAUUAAGCAUUUCAUACAGCAAAAGGUGACAUAUCUAUAGCUGUGGGAGACCAUCUCUAAAUACUAUAGGCCAGGGCAUGUGGGCUGAGCUGAAGCUUGUUAAAAACAAACACGCAUCUCCCUGGAUAGGUCUGAAAGCAACUUCAGCUCAACUCAUGAUUCCUGGACCCUGCUGUUGUACAUCUCAGAUUUACAUUGUGCUUGGAUUACCCACUGACUUCUUUACAUGGUUAACGGCUUCUUGACCUGGACACUAGUAUUGCAGAUUUUGUGUUUCCAAACGCUUGUAAGAACAGGACAUAUACAACACGCCAAUUCAUCAGUCCUCUGUCUAGGCACGUACCCAUUUAAAUUUUAGACACACUUUUUCCACCCUCAGACAUCCUUUCUGGACGAUGAGAACAUCAUUUCCAAUUUUAUCUUGUCUGCACAUGGUUGAUUUAUAUUUGCUAAUGAAAUAAAAACUGCAUUGGUAUGCCGUAUGCUCACCUCAGUGCUGCCUCUGCCAAUUCCUCAGUCAAAUAAAAUUUACAGAAGUGAUGUAUAGGACUACAUAUAAGCUACUUGAGUGGGUUUUUACUUUGAAGCCAUCACAAUUGAAAUGCAUUCCCGUAACAGUGAUGUCUUCCACAGCACAAUGCCCUUGUGUGUGAAAUGUUAAGCCAGCAUUAAAACUGUCACAGCUUCAGAUCCACUGCCUUAUUCUGACAUCACCAGGGACUGUGCUUCAGACUGACAUGUUUCAUGUCUUUCCCUUCCUUCCCAAAUAUCCUCCUACCUUGCCACAAAUACCCAACUAGACAAGCUGUUGCUACUCCAAAACAUCAUUACUAAUACCAAUUUGGAGGCUGGAAACACUAAAGGCUAACAUUUGGACAUCUACCCCAGCUGUUAGCACAAAUGUACAGGCAAGAGUCAGGAUACAGAAGGGAAAGGAGCUGUACCCAGAGCCUGGAAACGUUACUUACAUUAACUACAAAUCUGAGGAAAUACAGAAAGGGACAUGGGCAAAACUUGGCAAAAUUACAGUACUUGUUUUAAUUGCAACUGUAGAAUUCUCUUACAACCAGCAAUGCCUUUGGGUGGGGGAUUCUGGGAGUUGCCAUCCAAAACAACAUUUUAGGAAUGGGAUCUUUCAAGGUGCCAUCCAAAGUGUAUGCCUUCUUUCUUCCUCUAUUAAUCUAGAAAUUCCAAAAAAAGAGGGAGACUACAGAGGUUUCUAUAGUGUUCUGUGGCCCCCAUAAUUCCUUUCCAGAGACAUUGCAACCUUAUUCAUUUCAAGAAUGCUUGUGUUAUGAAAAAAUUCAUGACAGAGGGAACAGUGGUGCGUCCUACCAAAUUCAACUCAAUGGAGCUACAGCCACUUACUUAAAUACUACAUUUGAUAACUGUCUGAAUACAUAAUCAUAGAGGGUGGUAAAUUCAUUCAUUAAUUUGAUUUAUUUGAUUUCUUCGGCUUAGAAAUGGAGAUGUGCACCUUUCUCCCAAAAUGGGAACCCAAAGUGCCUUACAAAACAAAACAGUCACUCAGGUCAAUCCUGCAAUUCUGCACUUACCCGAAACUGCUAAAUGAAGUGCAUGGUUAAAGUUAGUCCCCUUAUGUCUGUGUGGUUUGGGGUCUUUAGGCUGGGUACCAUGGACAACAGGAUGCUGGACUAGACUGCAGGAUUAAUCUGAUGGAGCAAGAUUAUUCUCAUGCUUUUAAAAACACAUCUAUGUACUUCAGCAAAUGGAGAGGAGGAGGAUUAACACAACUGCCACUCUAAAGCAGCUAUGGUUUAAGUGAAAUUAGAUCAGACUGGACAUUUUAAGCAACUUGAUCACUUAAAUAGGUCCAGGUAUACGCUCGCUCUGUGCAAUAAUGUUUUUACUGACUGUUAUGUUUAAAUUUAUAGGUUUUUCUAAUGUGGAAUUUUUAUUAUAAUGUUAUGUUAUUGUCAUUUUAUAUUUUUGAUACUAGUGAUGAAAUUGUGCCAUUGAAUGUUUGCCGUUUAUAUGUAUGUUAACCACCCUGAGUCCCUCUGGGGAAAGAGGGCGGUCUAGAAAUAAAGUAUUAAUUACUAUUAUUA